This 901-nucleotide long non-coding RNA is filed under the name Marmota monax (woodchuck). The record is from RNAcentral. Lineage: Eukaryota; Metazoa; Chordata; Mammalia; Rodentia; Sciuridae.
GUGCAGCCAACUGUUCAAAUAAGAUACUGUACCCAGUUUUCUUGAAGAGCUGAGCAGGCUCGGGGGGAGCAGAAAACACAAGAACCGUCUUUCCCUACUCGAUGCUUCUGCACGGAAAACCUGGCCUUGACUCACUGACACGCAUUUCCCUCACACGUCCGGUGGCAUUAAACUGCCAGCAGCACCACGGCCAGGUGUCAGUGACCCUGUCUCUUGUCCUUCCCAGAGCAUCAUGGGGACAGAAAGUAACACCUGGACACUGCCAAGAGCCAGCAUAGGUGUGUGCCUUGGCUCCCGGGCCUGAGUGUCUGUCUCCCUCACUCCCCUACAAGGUAACUAAGAAAAAUAUCCCAAAGUUUCCAAUUCUCUCAAUUAUUUUCAAAACUAGUUUAGAAAAGGACCCCCUAACCCUGGGGGAGGGCAAGCCAGAGCCCAGAGGCUGGCAGGAGGACGCAGGGCCAGGCGUCCUGGGGCAGGCUCCCCUCCACUCAUUCAGCCCAGCCGUCCUGGAAGGAAUCCUGCCCCACGGCCCAGGGUCCCUGCAUGCAGAGGGUGGAGGGCAGUCCGCCUCUCACCCCACCUGGGAGAAGCACAUGCCUGGUUCUCAGCCCAGGGGGAGCCAGCUUCCUCCCUCCCCUGCUCCUCCGGGUUAGCAUCUCCCCCUGGGCCGUAAACACGGCUCUCUCUUGUUCAGUGGCCCCUCAGAAACGGCCACCCAGGCCUCUGGCCAGGCACGCCCAGUCACUGGGGGGUGGACAGCAGGCUCCACACACCCAGGUCUGGGAGGAGGGAGGGUGUACUCAGCCCACUCACCUUAUGGAAUCUUCCAGUCACACCAGGCGGUCGGGGCUACCUCUUCUCUACUCCAAGGCUCUUGUAAACAGUGACUUUUUGAAAAAGG